Molecule: ribosomal RNA, 621 nt
Filed under: uncultured bacterium
Lineage: Bacteria
Description: bacterial SSU rRNA
Rfam family: Bacterial small subunit ribosomal RNA
Source: RNAcentral
CGUAGGUAAUCUACCUUCGGAUGGGGAAUAACAACCGGAAACGGUUGCUAAUACCGCAUAAUGCAGCGGCACCUAAUGGUGACAGUUGUUAAAGCGGGGGCUUUUCGGACCUCGCGCCUGAAGAGGAGCCUGCGGCAGAUUAGCUAGUUGGUAGGGUAACGGCUUACCAAGGCAACGAUCUGUAGCCGGCCUGAGAGGGCGGUCGGCCACACUGACACUGACAUACGGGUCAGACUCCUACGGGAGGCAGCAGUCGGGAAUUUUGGGCAAUGGGCGAAAGCCUGACCCAGCAACGCCGCGUGAAGGAUGAAAUCCCUCGGGAUGUAAACUUCGCAAGAAUGGGAAGAAUGAACGAGCGCUAAUACCGUUCGUGAUGACGGUACCAUUUGUAAGCUCCGGCUAACUCCGUGCCAGCAGCCGCGGUAAUACGGGGGGAGCAAGCGUUGUUCGGAUUUACUGGGCGUAAAGGGCGCGUAGGCGGCCAGCGCAAGUCAGUUGUGAAAUCUCCGGGCUUAACUCGGAAAGGUCAACUGAUACUGCGCGGCUAGAGUGCGGAAAGGGGCAACUGGAAUUCUCGGUGUAGCGGUGAAAUGCGUAGAUAUCGAGAGGAACACCUGCGGC